This is a long non-coding RNA of Cygnus olor (mute swan), 1253 nucleotides long. RefSeq lists it as uncharacterized. The transcript has 3 exons. NCBI's taxonomy places the organism in Eukaryota, Metazoa, Chordata, Aves, Anseriformes, Anatidae. The record is from RefSeq and is a predicted model, not a curated record.
UCCGCCCCGGAGCUCCGCUGAGCACCCGCUGUUUCCAUCCUUCCCUGGUUGCCCCACGUCAGGAGGCAAAAGCCCCUGGGCAGGGUGCGGGGGGCAGCACCCCGAGGUGUGCCCACAGCGGGGUGCCCCGAGGUGGGGCGCGAGGAUGGGGCCGUGCUGGGGGCCAGGGCGAUGGGGAACGGGGAGAGAGGAGGAUGGAGCUGGGUGGGUGCCUGCAGCGCCCCAGCAGGGAGGUUUUGGGACGGGGCUGGCGUCUGCCCCAUCCAGCCCCGCAAUCCCACAGCUACUUCCCUGGGCACCCGGCUGCUCCUCGCGGGCUGCCGGAGGAGGAAGAGGGUUUCCACCCUCCAGCCGGCUCCGUGUUCCCGAGAGCUUCUGCUCGGGGCAGCGCGAAGCCGGCGCUGACGGUGCGAGGCAUUGCGUUUUCUCCAUUUUACUAUUAAUAGCGAUGAAAAACGCCCGUGACAAAGGGAGUUUCGCAAAGGCCACCGCCGCAGAUUCCUGUUCCCAGGCCAGGAGCGGGUGUCUCAGAGGCACCGCUGACGCAACCCUCGCCGUGCUGGGAAGAGUCCCCGCUGCUGGGAGUUUCCGAGCUUACCGCGAGUGCUAUAAGAUGGGCACGGGCCAUGCAGAAGCCCAGGAGCUUGUGCAUGAGCCCAUGCGCUGAGGCUAUGCUGCGAGCUGCGGCGUGCGGCCCUUUUCCUCCGACCUUCUACCCACACAAGCCAGCGUUGAUUCGUACUUCAGUUCGUACCAGCAAAACCCAGAGAUCCCAAACUCGGAAAGCAAGCACGAACCAAGGUCUUUUUGUCCGAUUGGUCUGCUUCCAUGGGUAGAGCCCACAGCCCAGCUUGGAGAGCCAAGACAGAGACCUCGCUGACACCGCACGUCUCUCCCUGCGCACCAUUUCUCAUCACCCACCAGAGAGAACACCAGCCUGGAAGUCGAGGCUCAGUCACUCACCGUCUUUGGGAAGGAAACGGGGGGAGACAGAAAAGGAGGCCGGUGAGAGUUGGCAGCAAUGUUAUCUGCGUCCCAGCUGGGGUGGGACACUUACGGCGGGAGGGAGAGGAGCUGCGCUCUUCAACUUCUCGCCUCAGUGUUUCAUGGUUGGGAGGUACCAAAUAACUCCCGUAAAAACGCUGUCCCGGGUAUUCUCUGCUUUGCACUUCCGAUGGGACAGGAAGUUUGGUAUUUCUGUAAAAUGCUUACCGUCUGUCUUGUCCAAAACAAUAAAAAUAUGCAACACCGAA